CCACGCCCUAAACGAUGAGUACUAAGUGUUACCGCGAGGUAGUGCUGAAGUUAACGCAUUAAGUACUCCGCCUGAGUAGUACGUACGCAAGUAUGAAACUUAAAGGAAUUGACGGGAGCCCGCACAAGCGGUGGAGCAUGUUGUUUAAUUCGUCGAUACGCGAAGAACCUUACCAGGUCUUGACAUCUGAGGCAAAGCUUAAGAGAUUAAGUGGAGGUUAGCCUCAAGACAGGUGGUGCAUGGUUGU
Molecule: ribosomal RNA, 247 nt
Filed under: uncultured bacterium
Lineage: Bacteria
Description: partial 16S ribosomal RNA
Rfam family: Bacterial small subunit ribosomal RNA
Source: RNAcentral